This is a long non-coding RNA of Bos taurus (domestic cattle), 1677 nucleotides long. The record is from Ensembl. Lineage: Eukaryota; Metazoa; Chordata; Mammalia; Artiodactyla; Bovidae.
GGGGCUUCCCAGGUGACUCAGUGAUAAAGAAUCCGCCUGCCAAUGCAGGCAACACAAGAGAAACAAGUUCAAUCCCCAAAUCAGGAAGACCCCCUGGAGGAGAAAAUGGCAACCCGCUCUAGUAUUCUUGCCUGGAAAAACCCAUGGAGAGAGGAGCCUAGUCCACGGGGUUGCCAAGAGUCGGACAUGACUGAGCACGCAUGCACGCAUGCACUUUAUAAUAACAAUACCUGUGCACAGUGAACAAGACUUGGACAAUGCUUGCAAAGCCCCUGAGGACGCAUGGCUGAACACAGCACGCCUCUUGGGAUUGAGAAGGAGACAGAUGCUUGCCCUAGUCUUCUCCGGGGAAGUAGCCCUGAUGAAGAGCAGUUUGGGACCCCUGUAAGGAACCAUUGUUGGUCCUGAGGCUGUUUAUCCCAGGGACUGAUAGUGCAGCAGCCAUCUCUGGUUGAAGGAUGGCUUUACCUUAUUUUGGAACCAACAUGUGAAUUCCAUAAGGAAACAGGCGUUAUUCAGCCUCCCGUAGAGAACUUUUGAGCAAAUGGAGCCGUUCAAAAAAGAUCACGCUGCCUUAGAGCACAGCUCGUCAUCACUGAAAAUACUCAAGUGAAGGCAAGAGCAAGCGACAAAGAUGUCGGGCUGGGGAGAAGUUGGUGCAGCGUGGCCUUGAAUGCACUCCUUGUGCUGAAGACCGUGAUUCCGUGAAGAAGAGGGAGGUCCACAGCCCAUGCCCUGGACCACCAGGCCUUCAGCCUCCCUGGAACCAUGCAGAGUUUAUGGAAUUGUGGCAAUCAGACAGGGCCGCCUGCCAGGGAUUUUUCUUAUCCCGGUAACUCUGUUAGACCAGGAGAUGGACACUAAAUAAACUCACGCAGGGAAUUAAAGUCGUCCUCUUUGAAUCUAUUUGAAGUCAGACCUUUGAAGCAAGCUUUCUUCUCCCUGUUUCCUCUCUUUUUUUAUUUAAAAACAUUGUGUCAGGAGUGCCUUUUUGCUGUAAUUACCCCUGUCACUGCUGCUUGGGAUGGUUUUACUAACUGGAGAGCAAACCUUGCCAGGAGAGUGGAUGAUGGGCAGUUCUAAAGAGGACGAGGAAGCUCUUCAUCUGGGAGCUGCAGUGGCAGCUGGAUCCUCCAAUGACAGCCCUGACGUCCCCUGGAAUGUCUUCCUGAGAUGAGAGGUUACCCGUUCAAACAGAAACCUCUGAAUGCUAGUUUCUGGCAACGCUGUGCCGCUUCAAAGUGCAGGUUUGUGUGAUGGAGAGAGAAUCCUGUCAGAGUUAGGCUUCCAUCGUUGUUAAUUGAUGACUCACAGAGCGACCAGCCUGUUUUGCUGGAUGAGCAUCCGGGUUGAUUAUUAGAAAUUGCUUUCAUGGGAGCGAAUGGUACGGCAUCCUUAACACCAAGGGUGAGGCCCCCUGUAGAGUGUGUGGGGCUUUAGUCAGCUUAAUUUGACUUUCAUCAUAGUUAAAUGAGGCACAGGGGAGUUCAAAGGAAAUUUUGGUGCAGUCUACAAAGAUGCUCACCCAGACAGUCGGAUGUCAUGGUUUUCAGAGACGUGUCUUCAUGGCAUCAAAUCUGAAUGGGAUGAUAAGAAUCAUAUCCUUCAGAACUCCCCUGCAUGACCAAUUUUUGCCUUUCAUCCUGGUCACUGUGGACACAGCCCUAAAAUGGACUC